This 253-nucleotide ribosomal RNA is filed under the name uncultured prokaryote. RNAcentral's name for it is "partial 16S ribosomal RNA". It matches the Rfam family "Bacterial small subunit ribosomal RNA", at positions 524 to 776 of the family's 1533-position model. The record is from RNAcentral.
UACGAAGGGUGCUAGCGUUGUUCGGAAUCACUGGGCGUAAAGCGCGCGUAGGCGGUUUAACAAGUCAGAGGUGAAAGCCCAGGGCUCAACCCUGGAAUUGCCUUUGAAACUGUUAGACUAGAGUGUCGGAGGGGAUAGCGGAAUUCCUAAUGUAGAGGUGAAAUUCGUAGAUAUUAGGAGGAACACCGGUGGCGAAGGCGGCUAUCUGGACGACGACUGACGCUGAGGCGCGAAAGCGUGGGGAUCAAACAGG